AAAAAGAGCAGAACGCAUUAUAAAACUGCAUAAAUGCAUUUUCAAAAUAACCACUGAAACACUUCGCAAAAUGCCACCUUCUUCAAAAGGGGCAAGAGAAUGUGCUAAAUGAAUUAUCUACCCAAUCCUACCCUGUAAUGUCUUAGAAACUCUAUAAAGACUAGAAGGACAUGUAUAAGCCAUUUGUGAGGUCAGUAUAUCCUAUCUGAUAUUUUUGUCCUCAUGGGUUAAGAGGAAGAGAUUGAUGAAAAUAGACUGAUGAGAAAAUGCUACAUUCACGGGUCUGCUCAAAAGGCAAGUAUGAAGAAUAUGGUGAAGGACAAGAAAAAAAAGAGCACUAGCUAAUCAUAAAAUGAGACCUGUUAAUGUCAGACAGG
RNAcentral lists this long non-coding RNA (377 nucleotides) under Bos taurus (domestic cattle). RNAcentral's name for it is "long non-coding RNA NONBTAT017631". The record is from RNAcentral. Lineage: Eukaryota; Metazoa; Chordata; Mammalia; Artiodactyla; Bovidae.